CCUACGGGGGGCAGCAGUGGGGAAUUUUGGACAAUGGACGAAAGUCUGAUCCAGCAAUGCCGCGUGCAGGACGAAGGCCUUCGGGUUGUAAACUGCUUUUGUACGGAACGAAAAAGUCUUUUUUAAUAAAGAGGGCUUAUGACGGUACCGUAAGAAUAAGCACCGGCUAACUACGUGCCAGCAGCCGCGGUAAUACGUAGGGUGCAAGCGUUAAUCGGAAUUACUGGGCGUAAAGCGUCCGCAGGCGGUUCUAUAAGACAGAUGUGAAAUCCCUGGGCUCAACCUAGGAACUGCAUUUGUGACUGUAGAGCUAGAGUACGGCAGAGGGGGAUGGAAUUCCGCGUGUAGCAGUGAAAUGCGUAGAUAUGCGGAGGAACACCGAUGGCGAAGGCAAUCCCCUGGGCCUGUACUGACGCUCAUGGACGAAAGCGUGGGGAGCAAACAGGAUUAGAUACCCCAGUAGUC
Molecule: ribosomal RNA, 465 nt
Filed under: uncultured bacterium
Lineage: Bacteria
Description: bacterial SSU rRNA
Rfam family: Bacterial small subunit ribosomal RNA
Source: RNAcentral